CGGGUGAGUAACGCGUGAGAAUCUGUCUUCAGGUCGGGGACAACCGUUGGAAACGACUGCUAAUACCGAAUGUGCCGAGAGGUGAAAGAUUUACCGCCUGAGGAAGAGCUCGCGUCCGAUUAGUCAGUUGGUGAGGUAAGAGCUCACCAAGGCAGCGAUCGGUAGCUGGUCUGAGAGGAUGAGCAGCCACACUGGGACUGAGACACGGCCCAGACUCCUACGGGAGGCAGCAGUGGGGAAUUUUCCGCAAUGGGCGAAAGCCUGACGGAGCAAUGCCGCGUGUGGGAAGAAGGCUCUUGGGUUGUCAACCUCUUUUCUCAGGGAAGAAGACCUGACGGUACCUGAGGAAUCAGCCUCGGCUAACUCCGUGCCAGCAGCCGCGGUAAUACGGAGGAGGCAAGCGUUAUCCGGAAUUAUUGGGCGUAAAGCGUCCGCAGGUGGCGCAUCAAGUCUGCUGUUAAAGGCUGGAGCUUAACUCCGGUAGAGCAGUGGAAACUGGAAAGCUAGAGUGCGACAGGGGUAGAGGGAAUUCCCAGUGUAGCGGUGAAAUGCGUAGAGAUUGGGAAGAACACCGGUGGCGAAAGCGCUCUACUGGGUCGCACCUGACACUGAGGGACGAAAGCUAGGGGAGCGAAUGGGAUUAGAUA
Molecule: ribosomal RNA, 647 nt
Filed under: Aphanothece nidulans
Lineage: Bacteria; Bacillati; Cyanobacteriota; Cyanophyceae; Chroococcales; Aphanothecaceae
Description: bacterial SSU rRNA
Rfam family: Bacterial small subunit ribosomal RNA
Source: RNAcentral